UACAGAGGGGGCAAGCGUUGUUCGGAAUUACUGGGCGUAAAGGGCGCGCAGGCGGCCUGCUAAGUCGAACGUGAAAUCCCUGGGCUCAACCCAGGAACUGCGUCCGAUACUGGUUGGCUUGAAUCCGGGAGAGGGAUGUGGAAUUCCAGGUGUAGCGGUGAAAUGCGUAGAUAUCUGGAGGAACACCGGUGGCGAAGGCGACAUCCUGGACCGGUAUUGACGCUGAGGCGCGAAAGCCAGGGGAGCAAACGGG
RNAcentral lists this ribosomal RNA (253 nucleotides) under uncultured bacterium. RNAcentral's name for it is "partial 16S ribosomal RNA". It matches the Rfam family "Bacterial small subunit ribosomal RNA", at positions 524 to 776 of the family's 1533-position model. The record is from RNAcentral.